UUACUGUCACCCCCCAGCGCGGACGCAGUCACCCUCUUACUGUCACCCCCCAGCGCGGACGCAGUCACCCUCUUACUGUCACCCCCCCAGCGCGGACGCAGUCACCCUCUUACUGUCACCCCUCUGCGCGGACGCAGUCACCCUCUUACUGUCACCCCCCAGCGCGGACGCAGUCACCCUCUUACUGUCACCCCCUCUGCGCGGACGCAGUCACCCUCUUACUGUCACCCCCUCUGCGCGGACGCAGUCACCCU
Molecule: long non-coding RNA, 254 nt
Filed under: Pelobates cultripes (western spadefoot toad)
Lineage: Eukaryota; Metazoa; Chordata; Amphibia; Anura; Pelobatidae
Source: RNAcentral